UGCCAGACUCCUACGGGAGGCAGCAGUGGGGAAUAUUGCACAAUGGGGGAAACCCUGAUGCAGCGACGCCGCGUGAAGGAAGAAGUAUUUCGGUAUGUAAACUUCUAUCAGCAGGGAAGAAAAUGACGGUACCUGACUAAGAAGCCCCGGCUAACUACGUGCCAGCAGCCGCGGUAAUACGUAGGGGGCAAGCGUUAUCCGGAUUUACUGGGUGUAAAGGGAGCGCAGGCGGCGCGGUAAGUCUGAUGUGAAAGCCCGGGGCUCAACCCCGGGACUGCAUUGGAAACUGUCGUGCUGGAGUGUCGGAGGGGCAAGUGGAAUUCCUAGUGUAGCGGUGAAAUGCGUAGAUAUUAGGAGGAACACCAGUGGCGAAGGCGGCUUGCUGGACGACAACUGACGCUGAGGCUCGAAAGCGUGGGGAGCAAACAGGAUUAGAUACCCGUGUACC
This 448-nucleotide ribosomal RNA is filed under the name uncultured bacterium. RNAcentral describes it as "bacterial SSU rRNA". It matches the Rfam family "Bacterial small subunit ribosomal RNA", at positions 329 to 794 of the family's 1533-position model. The record is from RNAcentral.